GACGAACCGUGCAAACGUUGUUCGGAAUCACUGGGCUUAAAGGGCGCGUAGGCGGGUCAUCAAGUCCGGGGUGAAAGCCCACGGCCCAACCGUGGAAGUGCCUUGGAUACUGAAGACCUCGAGGGGGAUAGGGGCGUGCGGAACUCAGGGUGGAGCGGUGAAAUGCGUAGAUAUCCUGAGGAACACCGGUGGCGAAAGCGGCGCGCUGGAUCCCUUCUGACGCUGAGGCGCGAAAGCCAGGGGAGCAAACGGG
This 253-nucleotide ribosomal RNA is filed under the name uncultured bacterium. RNAcentral's name for it is "partial 16S ribosomal RNA". It matches the Rfam family "Bacterial small subunit ribosomal RNA", at positions 524 to 776 of the family's 1533-position model. The record is from RNAcentral.